UUACACUAAAGCAGGCUGAGGCAGAGGGGAAGACAUGUUAGUCUUGUGCUCUUCUAGUUGCUAAAGCGCAGAGCUGCCGGGCUGUGGGAGUCAUGAGGCGGCCCUGCUUCACUCAAUAUGGGCUCUGGGCUUAGGGGGAGACCACCAUGGAUGUGUCUGCAGGUCUAGGCCCUAAGAGCAGUGCGGGGAAAAGGGGUAGCUAGCAAAGGACCAGCGUUCAGCGAGGAGCAUGAGCGGCAGAACGCUGAAGUAGGAGCACUGGCUCUUGUAAAAACUCUGCGGACUAGGGGGCUAGUAAAGAGGGAGAGGUGCCCAGAGAGCAUACAGCGGUUUCGGUCGAGCGAGAGGGAGUUCUCCGGCGGCUGAAGAGUGGUUCUUGAAUCAGACAGAUGAUGUUCCAUCCUCUUUUCUGCCAAUCACCCAAAGAUGAGGACAACACCCAAACUGGCACGAGCUAUGCGCCUAAGGAUUACGAAGGACUAUCGUGCAAAGUUUGUUGCCUGUAAACCAAUGCUUUGAGGUGAAGAUUAUUCGCCCAAAAUGUUCAAGAUUCUCACCAAGGAUAACAGCACUGUAUAAGAAGAGGACCCAAUGGUUCCAAAAGGCCUGGUUUUGCUCUACCGCCGUCUGCCCGGUCUGCCGCAGCUAUUUGGACAGCAACAGGUGAAAAGGUGAGAGGAGAUUGCUGAAAUCCAUAUGACAAAGACGACAUGUCUGCCCAGGAGAUGGAUACCUCACCAGAUAUGUUUUCCCUGCCAUGGUUGUGAUAAUUGGAUUUUCUGGACACCUGUAUGAGUGCAGUAUAUCCAGCGGAUUAUAACCAGGGAAAGGGUGUCUUUCUGACGUUCUUGAUGCACAUCCAAUGAUGAGUGGGUGAUGGAGGUCCCUCUGCUGUAACCCUGACCUCCAGAGCAUAAUGACCGCUCCAAAGACAGGACCUAAGGAAAGAUGAGUCCAACGAAACACAUCUAGACACCACUGCUUCAGCUGCAAACAUGAUGGCAUGAUCUGUCUCUGUGAAGACAAAAACAAUGUACCUGUUGUGCAACUCUCAUAUGGUUGGAUCAUAUGGUUCAUUUUGAAACGGUUCAACUGAAACAGUGAAACUUUUUACCAAUAGAGGCUACGCUGCUUAUGAUAUGAACUGUAUCGUCCGUUGAUGUAUUAUAUUUCAUGAUGUUACAUAUCUUCAAUAAAUGUAUUGGUGUCUUUGGUAGAAAUAUUGAGCAUUACAAUAUUUGGAAACUGGGGUAGGGAGUUCACAAUCAGAGCAGGGGAAGGUAAUUGCAGGUUUUUGUUCCAGCCCUCCAGGACAGAGAAUACCCCCCUACACACACCAUUUGCCACUGUAGGUUUAGAGAUCUACAGAUGGCCUCUGUAAAUAUCUGAAUAAGGCUAGCCUCUACCGUGUAAAUGAUAACACAAUUUCUGGUCAUCAUUGAUCUAAAUACAGAACAUUGUGGGGUAACUAUCCUCCAGUAUGGUGUGUUAUCGUAUAUUGUUCAUGUUGUAUCACUGCAACCCUCUGUCACAAUAGCUGCCCUCUCUCGCUCUACUUUUUCGCGAAGCUCCCAGGACAGCUUUCAGCCAUGGAUAUUCAUCCCCUUUAUUUAAAACACACGUGUUCCACUGGCUACCAGUCAUUCAUCACUGACAACUAGAGUGGGUAUGUGUGGCCAUUUAGGCUUAUUGAUUAGCCAUAUCAUUCACAGAUAUCUCUCUCAAGUAUUUACUGUGUACAUCAGCAAACAGGAACCACACAGUAAGUGGAUAUACCUCCUCACUCACACUUGAAUAUCCUCUGAGAAGAACCCAAGCAGGAAGCGUUUUCUCUGGGGGUGUCAAGUCCAGCCCAGGAGAUGGUCAGCAUCAUGACACUAAGGAAGACCCUUGAGAGAACCAAUCGAAGGCCCAUCUGUGUUCAGCGCAGAGUGAAUCCUGUGUUUCCAGGUUGAAACUGAACGUUAUUAAAACAAGUGGGCUGAAAGGUCAGGAGAGAGCAGCCCACAAAAACAAACAAUUCAUUUGGCAUGGAGGUGUAAUGGGAUGAGAUGUGGACUGGGGUCGGGUCUAUUGUUCUGCUGGAAUUAACCGUGGCAGGUCAUGUGUCACUGGGCACUGACCCCGGCCCCAUUCAGGAGCCCAAACUCUGCAUUAGCCACGGCCCAAAGAGAGGUCAAACAUAGUCACAAACCGGGCACACACACAGCCAGUUCUGACCAGGGCAGCACUUACAAAACAAAGAGGGGUAUUACCAUGCGGUGGUUGUGACACUGGCGGCAUCAAAGGCUUUGUGACUCAUCCGUUGGCCUGAAUCUGUUGGACUGGUGCAUAUUGGAGGCAUUAAGCAUGAACAACAUGCACCUAAAUACUCCUAUUUCAUCUGUGCAAAGUGUGUGAGCCGGAGGUGACUCCACUCCCCAUUCCCACAUCCAUACCUGGCUGAGGUGCAGAGUUGGAAUGAGAGUACAGAGUACAGAGUGAGUCAGAAGAGUGGGUUUGGUUCCCGUGGGGCCUGCUUGGGCAUACACUCAGACCACCCAUCAGGAUUGCUUUGUGCGGUCUAGUCUGCAUGCUUCUUUUCCUCUCUGCAGCGUGUCAGUCUUCUUGCAUGUGAAGCCAAUCGCUCGGCUGUUGUAGGCAUUUCCAUUUCCACCUGACAGAUGCCUGGUGGAACAGUGGCAUGUUGUAAAAACAUCUGAUCCUUUAGCUGCAGGCUACAGAUACUGCUAAUUGAAAAACGCCUAUUCCAAUAUUAUUGUUGCACAGUGCAAUCACAUUCUAUGAUUUCUCAAGACUUGGCUGCUUUGCCUCGUUUCACUGACAUUCCUCCUCUGUCCACUUGAGCGUAUAAUCACAACAUAUUUAUUGAUUAGAGGACAAACAGUAGCUAGCUCAACUGGACGGUAAAUUCCUUUGUUUUAUUCCUAUUCAGCAUGGUGGCAGCAGUACUUCUCCCAGGUAGCUAGACGACAGCCAGCCACAGCUAAAGCAGGCCUUUGCUCCAACAUGGCUCUGCGGUCUCUGCCCUAAUUGAUUGGAAGGGGAAAGGCAGAACAGCUGCCCCAAAGCACAGAGCCAGAAUUAAAACUUCAAUCCCACUCCCGAACACUCAAUUUCAUCCAUGAUCCAGCAUUAUACAAAUGAGUUGAGAACAGACAGCCAGGUGUAUGGUUCCCCAGUAGGGUCCCUGGACCCACUGGCCUCAGAACCACAAACUGCUCCCCUCUCUCUCCCAGCAGCACCAGGCCCUCUGUGCACCUUCUGUGCUCCCUCUGUGCUCCCUACCCUCCUACAGACAGCCCCCAGCCAAAACUACAACAGGCCAAUUCUAGAUUUUAGGGGAUCCAUUCACAGCACUUUUCAUUUAGGUAAGAAUCAACAAGAGGGUGUAACACUUAAAUGAUUAUCAGUCCAGUAGCUUUGCCUGCCAUUUCUGGGCCCUCCUCCACACACAUACAUUAACCAGAAUAUACUAUAAAAUUAGUAGAAAUACUAGCCUACCAAUAAGUAGUAAGUACACGCAUGACUUUCACAGAGGACAACAAAGGAGAUGGAUAUGCAAAAGCUCAGAGUAUGUUAGAAAGUCACUGGGUUAGUUAUAGUGUUACACAACCAGUUUCAAAUUACAACUGUUUUUAAAUGUGAUAUAUAUAUAUUUUACCUUUAUUUAACCAGGCAAGUCAGUUAAGAACAAAUUCUUAUUUUCAAUGACAGCCUAGGAACAGUGGGUUAACUGCCUGUUCAGGG
This is a long non-coding RNA of Oncorhynchus gorbuscha (pink salmon), 3750 nucleotides long. RefSeq lists it as uncharacterized. NCBI's taxonomy places the organism in Eukaryota, Metazoa, Chordata, Actinopteri, Salmoniformes, Salmonidae. The transcript has 7 exons. The record is from RefSeq and is a predicted model, not a curated record.